UCUGGGAGCAGGAGGAUAUUUUAGCAAAAUCUUCGUAAUAACAUUUAGCUGUCUAAACUAUAAAGGAAUAAUCUGUCAAACAACGUUCAGAAGAAAACACACUGAGUUCUGUAAAUCCUGCGGUGCAACCUUACGGAUACGGCUCGGAACACGUUAUUCACUUUUACUGCCACUUAGAAAGAAAGCGUAACGAAAGAGAUUCAGCACAGAAGCUGGUGCCAUGGUAACUACCGAGCAUGUGCUCGCGAAGCGCUUAUUUGCCUGUCUGUUCACGGAUGGAGCGCAGUGAGACCCUGUGGAACCAAAGAGUAGGCUACCUACGCAGGAGGAGCGUCACUCCAUGUCUGAAAAGGGACCCUCGGACACAUGCCUCUGCCCCUCCAGCCGUUCUACAGCAGCCGAAGCCCACAAUCCCUCGCUGAUGAGACGGAGACGCUGCCUCCUUUGUCCAUUGGCCUUGUGGAUCAGGAAGGUGUUACUCAGGCCGUCAGACGGGCUGAGCUGGAAGUCUGCCCAGCCUGCCCACCGAGUUGCCCCCUGUCCAAAUAAAUUAAACUGCAGGAAGGGAAGGCGAGAGUAGAAAAAGACGAAAGGAACCAUGUCUCGACAGUUUAAUUAUCCAACACAGCUUUUUGAGGCCUUAGGAAACAGCAGGUUGGAUUUGGUCUCCUUAAUCCCAACCUGCCAUAAACACGUCCCAGACCUCCAUCGGCUGACCCAGAGAGGGAGGACUGGGUGGAGAGGGCUGCCAGUGUCCCUGGACUAUUACUGAGAGGUCUCUUCUUAAUGUUCUGCCAUUAAAAUCCAUUUCUGCCUUUAUUACUCUUUUUUAUAUUAGUCAUUACUUUAUAAAUUACUGUGACAUUAGACUGACAAAUGGACAGUAUAUAACAUAUUAAUUUAAAUCACAUGGAGUAGAAACAAUUAAAGUAACAUAUAUACACUAUAAUGACAGUAAAAUGUGUGUGUGUAUAUAUAUAUAUUCUUUUUUCUUUGUAGUAGGAUAAGUAACUAAAAGUACCACAUGUGUCAUCUAUCUAUCUAUCUAACUAGGUUGAAUUAGUGCCCAUCAAGUGCUAGUCCAGUCUUGAAUUUAGAUUUUCAAGAAAUAGUCUGCUAAAUGAUUUAUUUAGCCAGGAGUAAUAGUUGACUUAUAAUGUUUUAAUGUAAACAAUCUAAAUUGCAGAUAAAAAGAAAUUUUAAUUUCUAGGUUUUUUGAGAGCCUCUUUUAUAAUUAUCAUUUACAA
This is a long non-coding RNA of Micropterus dolomieu (smallmouth bass), 1247 nucleotides long. RefSeq lists it as uncharacterized. The record is from RefSeq and is a predicted model, not a curated record. NCBI's taxonomy places the organism in Eukaryota, Metazoa, Chordata, Actinopteri, Centrarchiformes, Centrarchidae. The transcript has 4 exons.